UACGUAGGGGGCAAGCGUUGUCCGGAAUCAUUGGGCGUAAAGCGCGUGUAGGCGGCUCGGUAAGUCCGCUGUAAAAGUCCAGGGCUCAACCCUGGAAGGCCGGUGGAUACUGUCGGGCUCGAGUCCGGAAGAGGCGAGUGGAAUUCCUGGUGUAGCGGUGAAAUGCGCAGAUAUCAGGAGGAACACCAAUGGCGAAGGCAGCUCGCUGGGACGGUACUGACGCUGAGACGCGAAAGCGUGGGGAGCAAACAGG
RNAcentral lists this ribosomal RNA (253 nucleotides) under uncultured bacterium. RNAcentral's name for it is "partial 16S ribosomal RNA". It matches the Rfam family "Bacterial small subunit ribosomal RNA", at positions 524 to 776 of the family's 1533-position model. The record is from RNAcentral.